GGCAGGUUACCCGAGUGGCCAAAGGGAGCUGACUGUAAAUCAGCCGCUGUUAUGCUUCGGGGGUUCGAAUCCCUCACCUGCCA
RNAcentral lists this transfer RNA (83 nucleotides) under Actinomycetaceae bacterium. RNAcentral describes it as "tRNA-Tyr". It matches the Rfam family "tRNA". Rfam says of the family: Transfer RNA (tRNA) molecules are approximately 80 nucleotides in length. Lineage: Bacteria; Bacillati; Actinomycetota; Actinomycetes; Actinomycetales; Actinomycetaceae. The record is from RNAcentral.